GCCCAGUAACGGCGAGUGAAGCGGCAAGAGCUCAAAUUUGAAAGCUGGCUCCUUCGGGGUCCGCAUUGUAAUUUGCAGAGGAUGCUUCGGGAGCGGUCCCCAUCUAAGUGCCCUGGAACGGGACGUCAUAGAGGGUGAGAAUCCCGUAUGGGAUGGGGUGUCCGCGCCCGUGUGAAGCUCCUUCGACGAGUCGAGUUGUUUGGGAAUGCAGCUCUAAAUGGGUGGUAAAUUUCAUCUAAAGCUAAAUAUUGGCCGGAGACCGAUAGCGCACAAGUAGAGUGAUCGAAAGAUGAAAAGCACUUUGAAAAGAGAGUUAAAAAGCACGUGAAAUUGUUGAAAGGGAAGCGCUUGCGACCAGACUCGCUCGCGGGGUUCAGCCGGCAUUCGUGCCGGUGUAUUUCCCCGCGGGCGGGCCAGCGUCGGUUUGGGCGGUCGGUCAAAGGCCCUCGGAAGGUAACGCCCCUAGGGGCGUCUUAUAGCCGAGGGUGCAAUGCGACCUGCCUAGACCGAGGAACGCGCUUCGGCUCGGACGCUGGCAUAAUGGUCGUAAGCGACCCGUCUUGAAACACGGACCAAGGAGUCUAACAUCUACGCGAGUGUUCGGGUGUCAAACCCGUGCGCGAAGUGAAAGCGAACGGAGGUGGGAACCCUUACGGGUGCACCAUCGACCGAUCCUGAAGUCUUCGGAUGGAUUUGAGUAAGAGCGUAGCUGUUGGGACCCGAAAGAUGGUGAACUAUGCCUGAAUAGGGCGAAGCCAGAGGAAACUCUGGUGGAGGCUCGUAGCGGUUCUGACGUGCAAAUCGAUCGUCGAAUUUGGGUAUAGGGCGAAAGACUAAAUCGAACCCAUCUGGGUAGCUGGGUCCUGGCGAAGUU
RNAcentral lists this ribosomal RNA (874 nucleotides) under Penicillium commune. RNAcentral describes it as "LSU rRNA". It matches the Rfam family "Eukaryotic large subunit ribosomal RNA", at positions 77 to 968 of the family's 3401-position model. Lineage: Eukaryota; Fungi; Ascomycota; Eurotiomycetes; Eurotiales; Aspergillaceae. The record is from RNAcentral.